UGGGGAAUAUUGGACAAUGGGCGCAAGCCUGAUCCAGCCAUGCCGCGUGGAUGAUGAAGGCCUUAGGGUUGUAAAGUCCUUUCGGCGGGGAAGAUAAUGACGGUACCCGCAGAAGAAGCCCCGGCUAACUUCGUGCCAGCAGCCGCGGUAAUACGAAGGGGGCUAGCGUUGCUCGGAAUCACUGGGCGUAAAGCGCACGUAGGCGGCUUUUUAAGUCAGGGGUGAAAUCCUGGAGCUCAACUCCAGAACUGCCUUUGAUACUGAGAAGCUUGAGUCCGGGAGAGGUGAGUGGAACUGCGAGUGUAGAGGUGAAAUUCGUAGAUAUUCGCAAGAACACCAGUGGCGAAGGCGGCUCACUGGCCCGGUACUGACGCUGAGGUGCGAAAGCGUGGGGAGCAAACAGGAUUAGAUACCCACGUAGUCCCUGAGCGGGCUGGCAAGGCGCAU
RNAcentral lists this ribosomal RNA (447 nucleotides) under uncultured bacterium. RNAcentral's name for it is "bacterial SSU rRNA". It matches the Rfam family "Bacterial small subunit ribosomal RNA", at positions 355 to 825 of the family's 1533-position model. The record is from RNAcentral.